This is a long non-coding RNA of Homo sapiens (human), 2218 nucleotides long. NCBI's taxonomy places the organism in Eukaryota, Metazoa, Chordata, Mammalia, Primates, Hominidae. The record is from Ensembl.
UCGUGUUUACCUCUUAACAUUUUUUCCUGUGGGAGAAAGGAUCACCACAGCUUCCUACACAAAGUAGUUGUUGUUUGCAAAAACCACUUAGAGCUUUUCCUGCUGUCUGAAAUUUGUCAUUCACCAUCUCAUCAAAAACGAUCCAAUUUCCAUCAUUGAUUGCACUAUUUGAAAAGAUCCUUUUAUACAAUGAAGAGGCAAACGUGGUGGAAUCAAAUCCUCAUUUAUGACUAGCCCCAGUAUGUAGAGAUUGGAAGACACUCUGAAUUGUAAAGGAAUUUAAAGUAUAUUGAUCAACUGCCUGGGUGCUACUAAAUAAGAUAGGAAGGAAGAAAACUAAUCUUUUUGAAGACCUACUUUAUAUGCUGGGUAACUUAUAUAAUUUUUAUUUAAUAUUAUACCAUGAAGUAUAAUUAAUACCAGUUUACAAAUGAGGAAACUGAAGCAACAGAAGCCAUCAAGAUAAACAGCUUGUCCUAAGUCAGUGAAAGAGAAGGAAUGGUGCUAUACUCUGAACCCAGGGUGUCUGACUGUGAAGCUGACUCCUAUUUCAUUGCACUACAGCAUUCCCCAAUAUAAUACAGAAAACUCAAGUGGUUAUUGCUCAUGCUAUGGAAUACAAGACUCAAGUUAAAAGUGAUCUUGGUCAGUUGUAAAGAGGAGGGCCUAACAAAAGAAUGAAAAAGGAAAGAAUGAAAAAGGAAAGAAUGAACAAUUCAAUAAGGAACUAAUAAUUCCGAAAGAAAAACAAGAGGAGAAAGGACUUCCUGGCCAAAGUGCAGAAAAGAAAGAUCUGGUAAUAUGAUCAAUACAAUUCUGAAAUGUAUGAGAGUAAUGGCAUGCACAUAAUCCUGGAGCAUGAUAUACUAGUCAUCAUGUGGAUGAGGAAAAGGAAUCAAAGAAAAGAAGCACAAAUGAUCAACGAGGUAAAAAAGAAGGACUACGAAGAAGGAUAAAAGGAACUAGGGUCAUUUAUCUAAUGCAGGAGAAGGCAAGCAGGUGACCUGCCAUCGGAGCUUCCCAAGAGUAAAGAUCAUUUCUUACCACCUUUGCUGUCUAGUGAUUAACAGUCUCUUUAACACGGUGGGCAUUUGACAAGCCUUUACUGAACGGAUAUUGUAAAAGACACAAGAAGCAUUUGUAAAGAGAACAAUAACCAUGAGUGGUCUGUGUAUAGAUGGAGAAAAAUAUUUUUGAACAUAUAAGUGUAAAAGCAGGAGUUCAAGUUUGUACAGAGAAAGGCUGAGAGAGGCUUUCCCCUGUCUAUGCACAAUGUAGUCAGUAUUCAGUAAAAGAGCAAGUAAAUGAAUUUUGGUUGUAUUCAGUCCAUGAAACUGGAAUAAAUUACAAAGGAGGUUUAUUCCGCCCUUGGGUUAAAGAAUUGUCAUCUGACACUAGAGAGGUCAGUUAUUACUGUCCUUCCCAAUCUCUAACAAGUCUAAAAAUGCUACAUAUUUUUUUCUUUAUUCUCACUGCCAUCUAUUUCUCUUCUGGAUUUUUAUGCCUGACUCCCAAGUAGAUACCUUAGCCAGUGUCUUUGACAUAGUGCAGCCGUAUGGAUCUUCCUAAAUAAUAGCUCCAAUCAAGUCACUCUUUCAUUUAAAAAAACAAAAUCAAAUCCAAGAGCUUCUAAAUGAUUAUUUCAAAAGGCCUUCCAUGAGCUAACUCCAACCCCCUUUCCUAAUAUUAUGCCACCCUCCUUUCUGAAAUACACCAAACGGAAAUGCCCAGUUUCCCCAAACCCUCAAUAUUUCCCUUCCCAAGGCCUUUGCUCCUGCUGCAUAGGAGCUUUCCCUACUCAAUUUGUGUAGGUUCAAAUCCUAUCCAUCUUCAAAGGCCACACAUUCCAACUACUGCUCCUAAUUGCUUUGCAGAAAAGUAUUCUCUCUCCUGCUGAACUCCUAGAGCACCUUGCUUGUCCCCUCUUGCACAGAACUUAACUAUUUUCAAACUCAAGUUCAGUUAUUUUGGUAAAUCUUUAUGUCAUACACUAAACAUAAAUUCCUUGAGACAAAAGUAGUCUUACUCAUCUUUGUGGCCCUCACAUGCUAAGAAAGAAGGAAGAUGUUUGAACAUGAGCUCCACUGAGGAUGCCAAGAGAUGGCCAGGAAGAAAAGAAGGGUUUUUCUUAGUAUGGUGAUGACAGAUGAGAGUCUACUGUGGUUUGAAUGUCCUCUGCAAAAUUCAUGUUGCAAAUUUAGUUGCCAUUGUAAGAGUC